RNAcentral lists this ribosomal RNA (566 nucleotides) under Sordariomycetes sp. genotype 9. RNAcentral's name for it is "eukaryotic LSU rRNA". It matches the Rfam family "Eukaryotic large subunit ribosomal RNA", at positions 11 to 589 of the family's 3401-position model. The record is from RNAcentral. Lineage: Eukaryota; Fungi; Ascomycota; Sordariomycetes.
UCAGGUAGGAAUACCCGCUGAACUUAAGCAUAUCAAUAAGCGGAGGAAAAGAAACCAACAGGGAUUGCCCCAGUAACGGCGAGUGAAGCGGCAACAGCUCAAAUUUGAAAUCUGGCUUCGGCCCGAGUUGUAAUUUGUAGAGGAUGCUUUUGGUGAGGUGCCUUCUGAGUUCCCUGGAACGGGACGCCAGAGAGGGUGAGAGCCCCGUAUAGUUGGACACCGAGCCUCUGUAAAGCUCCUUCGACGAGUCGAGUAGUUUGGGAAUGCUGCUCAAAAUGGGAGGUAUAUCUCUUCUAAAGCUAAAUACUGGCCAGAGACCGAUAGCGCACAAGUAGAGUGAUCGAAAGAUGAAAAGCACUUUGAAAAGAGGGUUAAAUAGUACGUGAAAUUGUUGAAAGGGAAGCGCUUGUGACCAGACUUGUGCCCGGCUGAUCAUCCAGUGUUCUCACUGGUGCACUCUGCCGGGCUCAGGCCAGCGUCGGUUCUCGCAGGGGGACAAAAGCUUCGGGAACGUAGCUCCUCCGGGAGUGUUAUAGCCCGUUGCUCAAUACCCCUGCGGGGACCGA